This 253-nucleotide ribosomal RNA is filed under the name uncultured bacterium. RNAcentral's name for it is "partial 16S ribosomal RNA". It matches the Rfam family "Bacterial small subunit ribosomal RNA", at positions 524 to 776 of the family's 1533-position model. The record is from RNAcentral.
UACGUAGGCAGCAAGCGUUGUUCGGAAUUACUGGGCGUAAAGAGUGUGUAGGCGGUGCUCUAAGUCUGUUGUGAAAUCUCCCGGCUUAACUGGGAGGGUGCGGCGGAGACUGGAGUGCUAGAGUGUGGGAGAGGUAAGCGGAAUUCCAGGUGUAGCGGUGAAAUGCGUAGAUAUCAGGAGGAACACCUGUGGUGUAGACAGCUUACUGGACCACGACUGACGCUGAGACACGAAAGCGUGGGUAGCAAACAGG